This 253-nucleotide ribosomal RNA is filed under the name uncultured bacterium. RNAcentral's name for it is "partial 16S ribosomal RNA". It matches the Rfam family "Bacterial small subunit ribosomal RNA", at positions 524 to 776 of the family's 1533-position model. The record is from RNAcentral.
UACAGAGGUCUCAUGCGUUGUUCGGAAUUACUGGGCGUAAAGGGUGCGUAAGCUGCAUGGAAAGUCAGAUGUGAAAUCCGGGGGCUCGACCUCCGAAUUGCAUCCGAUACUACCAUGCUAGAGAACUGGAGGGGAGUCUGGAAUUCUCGGUGUAGCAGUGAAAUGCAUAGAUAUCGAGAGGAACACUAGUGGCGAAGGCGAGACUCUGGACAGUAUCUGACGCUCAUGCACGAAGGCCAGGGGAGCGAACGGG